Molecule: ribosomal RNA, 233 nt
Filed under: Lactococcus lactis subsp. lactis
Lineage: Bacteria; Bacillati; Bacillota; Bacilli; Lactobacillales; Streptococcaceae
Description: partial 16S ribosomal RNA
Rfam family: Bacterial small subunit ribosomal RNA
Source: RNAcentral
UAAUACAUGCAAGUUGAGCGCUGAAGGUUGGUACUUGUACCGACUGGAUGAGCAGCGAACGGGUGAGUAACGCGUGGGGAAUCUGCCUUUGAGCGGGGGACAACAUUUGGAAACGAAUGCUAAUACCGCAUAAAAACUUUAAACACAAGUUUUAAGUUUGAAAGAUGCAAUUGCAUCACUCAAAGAUGAUCCCGCGUUGUAUUAGCUAGUUGGUGAGGUAAAGGCUCACCAAG